GAUGAACGCUGGCGGCGUGCCUAAUACAUGCAAGUCGAGCGAACGGACGAGAAGCUUGCUUCUCUGAUGUUAGCGGCGGACGGGUGAGUAACACGUGGAUAACCUACCUAUAAGACUGGGAUAACUUCGGGAAACCGGAGCUAAUACCGGAUAAUAUUUUGAACCGCAUGGUUCAAAAGUAAAAGACGGUCUUGCUGUCACUUAUAGAUGGAUCCGCGCUGCAUUAGCUAGUUGGUAAGGUAACGGCUUACCAAGGCAACGAUGCAUAGCCGACCUGAGAGGGUGAUCGGCCACACUGGAACUGAGACACGGUCCAGACUCCUACGGGAGGCAGCAGUAGGGAAUCUUCCGCAAUGGGCGAAAGCCUGACGGAGCAACACCGCGUGAGUGAUGAAGGUCUUCGGAUCGUAAAACUCUGUUAUUAGGGAAGAACAUAUGUGUAAGUAACUGUGCACAUCUUGACGGUACCUAAUCAGAAAGCCACGGCUAACUACGUGC
Molecule: ribosomal RNA, 498 nt
Filed under: uncultured bacterium
Lineage: Bacteria
Description: partial 16S ribosomal RNA
Rfam family: Bacterial small subunit ribosomal RNA
Source: RNAcentral